GUUAAUCCCUAAUAACACAGGCAUAUCUGCAGGGCAAAAGCAUUUAAUGCAGUUUAAUGGUGAACGGAAUAGUCUAUAUUAAUAGUGUGCUAAUGCUCCAAAGUUCUGCAAUGCAUGGUGCAGCUAGGACAGAGAGCACACGCACUAACAAAAGUUCUAUAAAAAUUUGUUUAAAGCAUCAAGAGGAAAGAAGUGACCAUUUGAGCAUAUACUCAGAAUAACAAUCAAACUUACACUUGAUUCCAUAAUGCCAACCAAGUUUGUUAUUGCCUAGCGGCCUUUGGGAGUGGAUGUUAGUAUACUGUAAUCUUUGAUGAAACCAAAACAAGCAACUAAGAAAGGCAUUGAUCUCUGAGCAGCACCAAGUUGUGAAAUUUUUAGCCGAAAUCAAUAUUUUAAACUACAAAAUACUUUCUCCAGUUGUUAACAGUAUUGCAGCCAUUUCACAAUUUUAAAGACUUGAUGCAUAAACUAGUGAACAAACAUCAUUUCCCUCGAACAGAGGAAAAACUGGAAAAGUCAGUAAUAUUAAGAUAUCCUAUCUUCUUGAAACUCUGAUGAAAAAAAAAAAACGAAUAAAAUAGGAAGCCAUCAAUAAUAAUGAAACAAAUAGUAAACAAGAUUACAUGAAGCGUGAAUGUGGAAGCCUUUUUGAUGACGAAUGAAUUUUGUAACCUGUGGCCUUAUAAUAACUCUUGAUCCUCCAAGAAAACUCCAUUCACUUUGCAAGUCAGUUCCAACUCCUGUAAUUUGCCGUCCAAAAGUUUCAGCAUUCAUGCUUCUGGGAGCAGAGGUUAAUCUUUGAUCCACGCCAACAUUACCCCAAGUUCCUAUAGGCUGCUACAAACAGUCAAUCUAUAAGCAACAAAACUUAAACCCAAAGAGAAACCCUCAAGCUUGCACAAUAAACAGAAAACUGUUUACUUAAUUUAUAUCAUUAUAUUCAUCCUUCAAGCUCAUUAGCAUUCGAUAAACUUCAUGAUGACUCCUCAAGGGAAAUCUAGAAAUCCAAUUUUGAUAAUGUACGACCAUUAAACCAAACAAUUGGCUGAUUAAUUGGAAACGGGUAAACAUUAAUCACAGAUCUCAGUAGAAAUUUAACUAAAAAUAAAAAUGUGUAGAUAAAGUCACUGAAAAACGAAACUUCCUCCAGAAAACAACACAUCCAAUAGUAAUUUCUCCUAAAAUUCCAAUAAAACCCAGAAAAAGAAAACAAUUAACACGGCAAAACCAUAGCUUAAACAGCAAAAACAAGAAAGAAACUUACCUUAUCCUUGAGUGGCAACACUAGAGGGUGGCAUAAGCAAGAAGAGAUGGCCAUGCUAUGAGCAAAAAUGAAAAUCCCAGCAACAACCAUAAUGGCUUCUUCUUCAUCCGUUUAUAAAAGCACUCACUAUGUGUACGCUAAAAAGAACAAUUAAAAAAGAAAAUGGAGCAUCCGAAAAAUGCUGAAGUGGUGAUGUGGGACUUUCUUUCCACUUAAGAUGAAACAGAGUGCAGACACGCCGUUACAAAGCCACGAGCGGAAUUGAAGGAGACGUCACUACAUUCACUCAUUCAUCUAUUAUUAGAAUUGUUGUGUUGCGUUACACACUCACUGAGCACCGAAAGUGUGGAGGCAAAAGCGUAGCUGAGACAGACACCGUUUGCUCUUGUCAUAGUCCCACUUUUCAUUUGGAAUCUUUUAAUGUCCUACACGUGGCCUCACAUGGUUGGCUUUAGUUUGUUUCCACGGUAGUUAUUGAUCCACUUCUGUGUGCCUUUAGGUUAGGGGUCUGGUUUGGUCAACGUUUAAUUUGAAGAAUAUUAUUCUAAACAGACAUGAGUUACUGAAUUAUGAGUAUGUUCAUGCUGUGUAUCGCAACAGAAAAUAUAUUGGGAAAUUUAGAGAAACACCCGAUUAAAAUAAAUAAAAAUCCGCCCCAUCUUUUAUUUCAUCUCCUUAUCUUUCGGAAUUGAAAGGAAGUUGACACAGCCUCUAUACAGACGAAGGCCCUUCCUCUAAAGGAAUGUAACGUCGACCAAGUGUGCCAUGAUAAUGUGAAUUGCUGAAUACAAUGUUUCAAUCUAAUGCACCGGACAGUUCUGUACAUUCAAUACCAGUCUUAUUUCCUAUUUAACAACAAUCAAGCUCCUCAUUUUUAUUAACUCCAGCGAGUGAUCAAUCAACUGUCAGUACUACUUCUGCUGUGAUCAUCGAGCCAUGAAAUGAUAUCAGCAAAUACUCGAAUUAUCAUGUCAUCAGGCUCGCCCUCCAGAAGUGAAUGAAAAGCAUCCUUGUAAAGAAUGCACUUCUUGUCCUUACUGCUCGCUUUCUCAUACAAGGCUUUGCUCACCGAUGGGUCAGUUACAGUAUCAUUCUCCCCAUGCAAGAUUAGCAGUGGCAGAGAAACCUGUCGCAAUACCAGAAUUAGUUAUAUCCGAUGCAAGAUUUACACACCAAUGAUGUAUGAGAAUGUUCUAUAUCAACCAAAACACUUCUGUUAAACGAAAGUUUCAUUCUUAUUUGAGAUUCUUGUACACAUAAAGAUUUAAAAUCAACUUGAAUUUGCAAUGCCACAUACCUUAUCCGGUAAAUAGCUCGUUUUCUCUAUCCAGUAAAUGUCUAGCACAAUAAUAUUCUCAUCUUGGUUUUCUUAGUUAUUCAAAUUGAGUUCAAGCCUGUUCAUGAACUUUAUGAAACAUGUUCAAUAAUGGGAUAACACCUGCAUCCCUACAUUACGAAAUGGAUUUCUUAGUAUUUAAUUUUCUACUUUCUUCAAGUUCAUGUUACAACCUUUUUUUAAGUUAUCAACUAUGCAAUUUCUGAGAGCCAUCACUAAUUCAACAAUUUAAAUCAAAAGUUCCUACUAGACAAGCCCCUCUGAGUCAACUGACAAUAGCCUUUAUGCGGGCAGAGAGAAAGGUCAUGAAAAAUCUCAGAACAUAUGCCUCAAACUGGUUAAAGAGCAUGAAAACAUAAUUUUCUUGCCUUUUCCAACUGAUAUACUAAACAUGAUCGGAUGCAAGAUAAGUUUCCUCAAAAAAAAAAAGGACAAAAAAUCAUAGGCACAGAUGAUAUCAAAAUUCAAUAUUAAAAAUUAUUGUCAUGCCUUUUCCAACCGACGUUCUAUCCCUUCAGUGGUUUUGAGCAGCUCUAGAGCAGUCCGCAAGCGUGGUUUAUCCUUGUAAACAAUGACAUUAUACUUAGUCUGCAUUCAACAGGAAAAAUGAGAGUAUUUAGAAUCAACAAGUGGAUGGCAGAAUGAAUAAAGAACUUAAUCAAAUGCAGGGGAGGGGGGGAAGCUACUACCAUAUGAUAUCACAAUCCUACAUGGCUCCAUUAUAUUAUUUGCUAUAAAGCCACAAUUAUUAUAAAUGCUUUGCUUUAAUUUUAGUCAUUGAAAAGAUCUAAGAAAUAUCCAUUCCCCCCNNNNNNNNNNNNNNNNNNNNNNNNNNNNNNNNNNNNNNNNNNNNNNNNNNNNNNNNNNNNNNNNNNNNNNNNCACCCCAAAAAAAAAAGAGAGAGGAAAAAAAAAAAGGAACAAACCAGUUCUCGAUUCUUCAAAUCUCUAAAUGCAGCCUCAGCCAAAUCCUUUUGAGGAACCAACUUAUGCUUUGGAAGAAUAUUAGCUAUGCCAAUCAGGAUUUGUUUUACUAAAAAUGGGGGCACCAUGUCAUCUGCAAUCUAUGCAAAAUUUUGAGUUAAUAGAAGGGAGGUAUGUCAGAUUCUAAGACAGUUUAUAAUAUAAUCAGGUUGAAGAAAAUACUUUGCACAUAGGUGCAACAAGAAUAGCACCGCUCCAUGCAUUAGGCUGUUUAAGGUGCACCUUCACUGCUACAGCUCCACCAAGAGACUGACCAAAGAGGAAGCUCGGCAAAGUACGAAACUCAGGGUACUCUGCCAUGUGAAUCAACCAAAACAUAAACAUCAAGAACAGACAAGUAUCUUGAUCAUAAUCUGUUAACCAAAUGUAAGAUGUUUGUUAUGUGUACUAUAAUAAUUGCCCUUAAACAGAUCAUUUCAAUAUACUUUGCAUUGUCUCAAACGAUGACAAAAUCAACAAACCAGAGAAAGUUUUCUUCAAAGUAAACAAAACAAAGAAUUCGUAAAUGAAGACAACAGAUUGACAUGGAAAGGGAAAUGUUAAAAUCAUCAAACCUAAACCUACACUCAAAACAAAAUUUAAUUCUAUCGCCAUUGAGGGUUUCAAGGAUUCCAAGAUAAGGCUCUAAAACAACUUGGCACACCUUUGAUGUUGGAAUAAUGCUCGAUGACAUCAUCAACCAGCCGGUCAAAGCUGGGAAUGUAGCCAUGAAGACCUGCUGAAAGGCCAAAUCCAGGGUAAUCCAUAGCGAAAACUCCGUAUCCAGAUGAUGCCAACUUCCUUGCAGUUCCUGAUAAAAUGCCACCAUGUAAGGCUCAAUUACCGCACCAUGCCUAAGGCUAUAAACAGUUAACUGCUACUUAAUGCUAAGAGCUACAUGCCUUCAAAGAAAAAUGUGCAAGUGUCUCCAUAACCAUGACAAUAGCACACCAGUCCUUUGGGUUGAGAGGUCUCCGGAAGCCAACUUUUACAGAAAAUUUCCACUCCUCUGGAAUUCACCUCAUACGACUGCAAAACAGCAAACAAUGUGACCUUCUUCAGUUAAAAGCAAAUUACAGCAAUGUCAAAACACAAAAACAGCAGGACACAAUGCUUUUUUAUACUUUAGCCAGCAUCACCGAUCACAGCUUGGGCCCAAUUCCACUUUUUUGGGUAGAAAGACUCCCUUUCGUACGAAAUGUAAACAGAAAGUAAUAAAAGCUGAAGUUUUGACUUCUUACCUCCUCCGUUUUCAAUCCAUCACAAGUGGCCUGCAAAAUAGCCAAAAAUAAAAUAAUCAAACUAUAAACUUCAUUCAAAGAUAUAUCCAUCAUCCUUCUAAAGUACAACACUUCAUCAGCACCAUUGAACACAACUGAUUCAGCAACAAUCAACGGACCAAAUUAUUUCCUUUACCAACUUUUCAUUUACCACAAACAAAUCCCACUUAACAUCAUCAACUUCCAAUAACAAAACAAUAUAAAAAUAAAUAAAUAAAUAAGUCAAAUUAAAAAAACGAAUGCCAAUAAGCGAAAAACAUGAAAAAGAAUGCAAAGAAUAGAACCACCUUCAAUAAAAUAUGAUCAAUAUUAAGCUGGAUAUCCUUAAACGCCUCACGUGCCCGGCGCCUAUUGGGAGCCUCAUCCAUGUUAGCGUCCAAAAUCUCGCUCAACUCAUCGCUUAUUCCUGGAAACUUCAGCUUUGCUGCGGCCAUUAUCCUUCUUUUUCCUCUGAACCCAAUUAACCCCGCACCCAAACUCUUGGCCCUCGUACUCAAUCAACUUCACGUUAUUGUUAAAAUAACAAAGAAAACAAAGGUGAAUGCUUUCUUGGGUUUUUGCUUUAAAUACCACGUAAAGGGUGCAGUCACAGCUGACCUUAAAGCCAAAUUUGGAAAGUAUAUUAAUUAUAUUUUUUUUUUUAAAAAAAAAAAAAGGAGAAAAAUAUGAACGUAUCAUGAAUGGUGUUUGUUUUUGUGGACCGGGAAAGUGGCCAAAACUUAUAGACGAGGUCUGACUUUUAUUAUUUUCUUUGUUAUCUUUUUCUUUUUCCUUUUUUUAUUGGGUCGUUGAAGAUGCCGUUUGAGUGGGAGAUGCCUGCUUUCAAAGUUCAAACUUUUAUUUGCAGUUUCUAGAUUUCGUUUUAAUUAACAUUUGGGUCCCUUAAUUUUGAUAAAAUCAUAGAAUAAAAAUAUAGUUUGAAGCUUUCUUCGCAUGGAUCUUCAAUGUGACGCCAAGUUAAAAUUAGAAUACAAAUUUUAUAUCUAAUUAAAUUUACGUGGCAUGGUUAAAUGUCAUUUAUUAAUCAUUAAUAAAUAGUAUUAUUAUCACAAUAAUAAUCAACUAAUAGUCAAUAUGCAAUUGAUAAAACUAUAAUUAUAAUUUAAUCAAUAUAUACCUAUCAUUGUUGACUUGUUGUCUUUCUUUUGAAAUAAAUACUAUUAUUUUUUUAUUUAAAAAAAUUAAUUUAGGGUGGCCGUGGAAUGUGAAUGUGAUGUCCCUUCAUCCUCAAUGCCCGACUUAUUAGAAUUUAGAACAUAGCAGCGCUGCAUUGUGUCAUUUAGGACCUGUGUGAAAGAAUUAUGAAUUAUGUCGUUAUGUACGCUUUUGUCAAAGAAAUUAGUGAGCCAAAUGUUAUUUCUCUAUUUAAUAACUGUUUUGCAUUUUCGUUUUGUUUUAUUUGUUAAUUAGGCGGCGGUUGAACACGAAACUCGUUUUGGACCCCCUUCGAAGCCUCGGUUGACGUGGUUGGUGACUAUGAGGGAGCGCGGCCUUCCCGUGACGGGCAGUCGUCUUGGUGCGUGGGACCGCUGCUCUACUUGCGACACGUGGCCCACAGCGAAUGCGAAACUGUGUAUAUAAUAUAAUUUUCACUAAUCACUUGCAUAGUAUACGACCGUGUCAAGCUCCCAUUAGGGGCUGGGGUCUGCAUUUAAUAGGAACUUGAUACACUUGAUCACACUCCAUUUUUUAAUAUAAUUAAUCUUAUCUUCUAACAUACGAAAAUUUAUAUUCUUUUUAUUUUUUAACUUGUCUUAGAAUUCUUCCAAUAACAUAUUCUAGUAUAAUAUAUUUUAUUUUUUAAUAUAUUAAAAUUUAUAAUUUUUUUAUUUUGUAACUUAUUUCUUAUCUAAUAAAAGAUGCUUAAGUUAUUAAAAAAAUAGAUGAACUAAAAAUUAAAAAAAAAGUAAAAUAUACAUUUCAAUACAAUAUAUUUUAUUCUGUAGUGUAUUAGAAUAUAUAUUUUUCUUAUUUUAUAAUAUAUUCCUUACUUUAAUAAUUUAAGGGUAUGACUAUUUGAGUCCAUUAAAUUUCUUUUUAUAACUAUCAUAAAAAGUAAAUAUUUUUAAAAUUUUAAUAUUCUAAAAUUUCAAAAUUUCCCAUUAAGCUAUUUUCUUAUCAAUUUCACUGUGCAUAUGUUCUCUCUCUACCAUCACUUCUUAUAAAUUAAUCUCUCACUUCACUCUUUUUUGGCUAUGAAUUAUUUUGCUUCUUUAUUUCGACUGCAUCGCCUUUUGUCAUUUGAAUUGGGAAAUUUGUUGAUUAUAUUUUUAAAUUGGUAGUAAGAUUUACAGCUUUAGCCAGUUUCUGUAACAAACGGUUCUAUUCAAAGAGGUUGGUACGAAUAAGGAAUCUUUCUCCCUCUUGGAAUCUCGUUGACAAGAUGGCAAAGGGUACACUUCUUGUGAAAUCAAAAAUGAAAUAAGAUUUGGGAAUGUGUUAGGAACAUAAUGAAUUCAAAGCCAGAAAAAUAAAAAAAUUAUUGUGUUUCAUGGUUAAUUAAAAAUGUUGAUACUAAUUUUGGAUGGUGGUUUGUUCCUUUAAAUUCGCGGUAGUCCAUAGCUAAAUUGAUUUUGAUUAUUUGCAACAGACAAACAAUAGCAUUCAUUUGUAGUUGAACUCUAAAAGAAAAAAAAAAUUGAAGGAAUUGGUUUGAGCUAAAGAUUUGGGAGAGAAAAUAUACGACUAAUUAGGUAAAAUUUUCAAAUUUAUUUUUACAAUAAGUAUUUUAAUUGAAAAAAAGGUGUAAAGAGUUAAUCUAUGAUUUAAGGACGUGUCUGCGUUAAAAAAAUGAGGGUGCCCGAAUAUCUAUAUGUGUGUGUAAUUAUGACUGUGCUAAAAUAAUAAAUACUCGAAGUCGGAAAUUAAUUGAUCCAUUUUAAUAACAAUAGUGAUAAGAUUCUAAUAUUUGAGUCUUAAUUUAAAUUCUAAUAUUAUGUGUUACUUAUUUAUUAGAAUAUAGAUUAAAAUUAUUUACUCACCAUCUAAUGAAUGAAUACCACAUUAGUUUUGAUUCAAAUUUAUGACUUAAAUACUAUGAUACCUAAUAUUACUCUUUUAAUACCAAGAAAAUUAGCUUCAGCUAUCCCCACAUCACCAUGGAAAUGAGUCCGAACUCUAAACCAAACAAAUUACCAAUUUCGUUAGAAAUUAAAUCAAUCCAAAUCUAAUUCGAUUGGAACGAAUGGAUAUUAUUUGCCUAAAUGUGAAAUUGCGACUUUUCUCCUACCCUUUAAGCCAUGUCAUUUUCUUUCAUUCUAGUACAUGACAUGCGCUUCAAUGGAAGAUUUGUUCAUGAUUGGACGCGUUCGCUAUGAUAAUUAAUUAGGGAUGGCAAUGGGGAGGGGAGGGGAGGGGACCAAUCUCCCCAUACCCAUCCCCGAUAUUUUGCAUAUGUCCCCGUCCCCGUCAAAAUUGCUUGAGAGAAUCUCCAUCCUCUCCCCGAAUAAUAACAGGGGAUCCCCGAGGGUCCCCGGUCCCCGAAUAAUUAAUAGUCUAAUAUAUUUUUUAUUUUCGAUUUUAAAUUAAUCAUAUUAAAAUAAACUCAUACCGCUAUUGUAAGCUCGUAACCAACUUUGACAGCACAUUAAGGCCUCCAAUGUGCUUGGAUGAAGUUUGUUACGGUGUGAGCUCACAACUCUACCACCGGUGCUAAAAGCUGAUUCAGAAGCAACUGUUGUAAUUGGAAUUGCCAAAAUAUCUCUAGCAAUUCGAGCUAAUGUAGGAUACGAAUUAGGAUUAGAACUGUUGUAAAUUAUAAUUAGGCAGCUCUCUCCUGUAUCAUUGUGGUUUGGAUUAAAAAUUUAAGACUUUAAUUAGUUAAUUAAGUUUAAAAGUUUAAUAAUAUAACUAUUUUAAUAUUUAUUAUUUUUAACAAUAUUUAUAAUUUUGUUAUUUAUUUAUUAGUAAUUUUAAAAAUAAAAAUAAAAUUAAAAAUUAAAAUGGGGAAAUGGGUAGGGGAUGGGGAUUCCACCUCAUCCCCGUCCCCUCCCUGAAUAAAAAGUUGGGUAAAAAAUUUUUCCCGUCCCCUCCCUGAAAAAAAAAUUGGGUAUAAAAUUAUCCCCGUACCCUCCCCGAAUGGGAAAAAUCCCUGAGGGUACCCAUCCCCGUGGGGAUUUUUGCCAUCCCUAUAAUUAAUUGCAUUUAUUAACAGUGCUUAUAUCGUUAUUAGUUCAAUUUAAUUUGACAUGAAAUUUGACGUAUAUGGAUGGAGAUAGAUAAGCCCUCACGAAAUAAAUUUAUGAGUCACAUCCAUAUAUUUUUUAUGAGAAUACAUUAAUAGUAUGUUUAUUGAUCAAUAAAUGAGAAUGGAUUAGAAUUGGAAUGAACUAAAAUUAUAAUGAGAUAAUAUUAUAAUAGAAAAUAAAAAUUAGAAUAGAUUAUUUAUUUUAACUAUUAAAAUUGAAAUCGAAAUGAGUUGUAUUAUCAUUAAUGUGUUUACUUUAUUUUACAAUUUGAAUGAAUUAUUAUAAUUUAAUAAAAUACCUUUAAUUUAUUAUUACCAUUAUUUUUAUUAUUAUUAUUAUUAUUUUAUUAUUAUUAUUAAGAAAAUUAUUGUUAAUAAUAACAAUAGUUGUUGUUACUGCUGUUGUUGUUAUUAUUAUUUUCUCCCUCUUUUGUUUAUUUUCUUUUUCUCCUCUUCUUUUUCUCUUUUUUCUUUUUAUCUCUCUUUUUGUAAAUUCUUCGUUACUUCUUCUCUUUCUUCUUUCGUUUUAAAUUUUUAUUUUUCUAUUCUACAUCGUUUCUUCUUCUUCUUCUUCUUCUUCUUCUUCUUCUUCUUCGCUGUCUAUUAUUUGUCUUCAAUCUCUUUUUUCUUUUUUUCUUUUUCUCUUUUUCAUUACCUAUUCUUCUUCGUUUCUUUUUUUUUUUAAUUUAUUUUCUCUUCUUUAUUGUUUCUUCUUCUUCUUCUCCAUCUAUUCUUCAUCUUCAAAUUAAACCGAUGGUGCCACGCGAUGAAUGACGACGUGAUUCCAACGUGCUGUGCUACGAGAUUUGGGUUUGGUUGCUGUGAGAUUUAGGAUUCGAUUGCUUGCUGUGAUUUUCAUUUUGAUUUUUUUGAUUUUUGAUUUUUUUAUUAUUUAAAGGGUAAAAUUUUAUUUAAUCUCUAUAUUUUGAGGUUAGUACCCGUUCAGUCCCUAUAUUUUUAAAAAUAACUCAAAACAUCCCGAUAUUAAAUUAUUAGCACAUUUCCUCUUACUUUUUAUUGCUUUUGGCUUAAUUUUUAUAAUAUUACCCUCUUAUAAUUUUUUUUUGGACAUUAGUAAAAAGAAAAAAAAUUAAUUAUCAAUUUAAUCUUAAAAAAUAAAAUAGAAUCAAAAUUAAUAUAUGUUGCUAUUUUGAAACACACUGAGGAAUUAAUAUAUUAAUUUUUUUAUUAUUAAUGUCCAAAAAAAUAGGUAAUUUAAUUAUUUUACAAUAAAUUUUUUUUUGACACACGUAAACUUUCACAAAAUUUAAUAUAUAUUCUUUUUGUUUUUAUUUUAUUUUUGGGGUUAAAUUGAUAAUUUAAUUUUUUUAUUAAUUUUAUAAAAAGAAAUAUUAUUGUAAGAGGGUAAUAUUAUAAAAGCAAGUCAAAAUAAAUAAAAAGUAACCGCAAGGAUGUCAAUAAUUUAAGGGUGGAGAUGUUUUGAGACAUUUUAAAAAAUAUGGAGACUAAAUUGACACUAAUAUUAAAAUAUAGGGAUGCAAUAAGCUUUUACCCUUAUUUAAAAAAAUGAGAAAGUUAUAAUAAUGUAAUUGAAGAGGGGGUAUUUUAAGAAAUUCUAGACAUGAGAGUCUGAUUCUCAAGCUGACUUAGAAAUCAAACUCCAUAAUGAUUAUUAACUUGGUGUGGGCUCUACGAAAAUGAAUCUUAUUCCUUCCCUCAUUCAUCAAAUAAAUGUUGGUUUCAUUCUGAUUCGAAAUUCCCAUUAUUGAAUUUGGAAAAUAAACUCACCAUAAAAUGAAUAUAUACAAUGUGUGGUUUAAUUCUCUAAAAAGUUUCCACUUUGACAUAAGGCGGAUCAUAAUUGAAAAAAAAUAAUAAUAAGCCAAGAGAGAUAACACAUUUUCCUUCUAUCAUCCUCUUCAAAUGCUUUAAGCCAAGAUCAAAUAUAAAGUUUUUAUGUAACUUUAUAUUUAGGUUAUUGUGAAAACAAAUAAUAAUUGUAAUGGAUUGUGCUUAUGCAUAGUUGUUUAUUUGUAUAAAACUUAGGUCUUAUUUUAUAGAGAAAAAAAAAUUAUAUUCUCCUGCUAAUAUGUCAAAAGUUUACUUACAACCAAUCUUAAAUGGGUUGUUGUAAACUCGUGGGUAAAAUGAUGAAUAUACAUUUCUCUCUAUAAAAGUAUUCCUCCGAUUUUAUAGAUAAAAUUUAUUGCAGUUUUGUUUUUGAACAUAAUUUUGUAAGAAAAAGAAAUUGUUUAACAAAAUCUCGCAAUAGCUGACUAUCAUUUAUAUGUUAAAUAUAUAAGUUCGAAGUAACUCUUAAACUAAUUUUUUUAGUGUAAACUAGGCUCAUAGCCUUAAGGUCUUUAGGUUUAAAAAUGAAUAAGGAAAUUAUGCAGGGAUUUCUAUUGAAGUUUAGUCAUUUUACUACUGUGGCACAUACUCUUUACAAAAACUUAUUCUAAACUCCUUAAAUUUGUAAAAUUUCGCUAUAGUUAUGUUGAACUAAAUCAUGAGUCCACCAGUCAUGAUCUCCCAUGUAAUUUUAUGCAUGAGGUAGGAAGUCAUCGUAAAGAGGAUAGCUAGUCCACAAACAUAAUAAAACCACUCAAUAUGUUAAACUAUAUAUAGAUAUUUUUGGAGAAUUCCACGCGUUUAACGGGAUACCGAGAUCUAGUUUACUAUUAAAAUUGAACAGCUAAAUUUUAAAAAUUUCAACAUUUAACUAUUUGAUAAAUACUAUAUGGUACGAUUUAAAAAUUGAUUUAAUUUGAUCAUACACUUAUAUAAUGAAAACUUAUUAUAUUUUUAAAAAAAUCAUUAUUUAAAAAUUAUAUUUAUAGCAUCUUAUCAAAUUUUAUUUAAAAUUUAACAUUAUUGUUCGCUUGUGGUAGAAGUGUGGUUGCUUCUCUUUACGAAGAGCCCUUUAAUUUCCAUAAUGAGUUUUUUAAUAGGUUAGGGCAGCAGGAUCACGUCCCCACGAUGGAUUUGUUUGGUGUAGGUGAUCAGUUCUAAUUAAUUAAUACUUAAAAGAUAAUUUAAUAUUAUAAUUUUAAGUUUUUGUUUCAUUAUUAAUAUAUAAAUUAGAGAUUUAACAUUUUUUAAUUUUUAAAUUUAAAUUUAUUAUUUAAAUUUAUAAUUUUUUUUUUUUUUAAAAAAAAGAGGGAGUGAGUCUAGUUUGGGCUUUUUUCCUAAAUCUUUAUACAGACUCUCAUGUGGAAGGCUUGAGUCAAAGUCCUUGCCAAUGGGCCGGACCGCCCGGACUUUUUUGCGAAUUGGUCCUUGAGUAAUGAUGGGUCUUCAUUGCGAAAGGCGGGUGGUGGACAUACGUCCGUCAGCUAGUCAAACAUUGCGUUGAGCCAUUUAUCAGGGGACGUGUCAAUGUGACAUUGGUCUGUUUGUGGGUCCACAAUUUAUCAUCUUACGCUUACCUCACAUACGGGCCGGGCUUACCAGACUGAGCUUUGUCUAUUGGACUAGGUUGGCCUUGAUUUAUGGGCUAAAUUGCUCGCGUAAAUUAAUGAUCUUAUCCUACUACCUUGGACUAGGCUUUACUAACGUUCCCCACAAACAAUGCCUAUGAUGGGUUUGUAGAGCCUGAUAUUCAGUAGAAGAGUGAAUUCCUUCCCCCGUUCGUAUUAUUUCUAAUUUAGCCCAUCCAAGAAAAGAAAUUAUAACCAAAAAAAGUAUUUAUAGUGUAAAAUUACUAUAUUUUAAUCAAAACUCUAGGAAGAAAAUAAAAUCAAACACUUCCUCAAAAAUACAAAAAGGGGAUUAGAGCUGCAAAUGCAUACACCCCUCGGACAAUUACUCGAAAAGGAGGAUCACGUGUCCACUUUAUCACCUUAACCUGGUCCCUACCACCAGUUCGCAUCCACGUGUCAAAAUCACACAUGAGAAAUUCAAUUCUGAUGCGGUGGAGAUGGAGGAUGGGACCCACCACAUGAUUGCCUUUUACACGCUUCUUUUAAGCUACCGAUGCGUGAUUUGCGCGCGUGAUUAAAAAAAUAAAAGAAAAACCUCUCACUCUUUACUCUUUACCCUUUGGUCUUUAGUUUAGGGAUGACAAUGGAUUAGAUCUGAUCUAAGAUUCACGUUAUCUAAAUUUAAUCGGAUCAGAUUUAGAUCGAUUUAAAAUAGAUUUAGAUUGGAUUUGAAUAUUGAUGUGUGGAUUUAAAACGGAUCUAGAGCAGAUCUGGAUCUAUCUUAAUAUCUAAAUUCAUAUUCAUAUCCACUCAUUUUUUUAUUUUAUUUUAAAAGUUUCUUAACAAUUGUAAAAUUAUAAUGAUAAUAAAUUUUAUUCAUAGCAUAUUAGUAGUAUUUACUAUGCAUUUAAACUCUUAAAACUUAAAAGUUAGUUUUGUAAAUUUAAAGGUCAACCAGCCCCAAAGCAUGUACAUGUAAUAUUCAAAUUGCAAGUCAAGUAAUAUAACAUAGAAAUUUAUUUUAUUAUAUUGGCCAAAUAAUUUUUAAGGAAUAUAGUUAUUCAUAUAUUUAGUCAUAUAUGGACAUAAUAAAAAUAAUAAAUGACUGAAUAUAAAUCAUAUUUAAUUUGUAUGCCAUUAUCUAAUGUUGUAGGAAUGACGAUAGAUGUAUCGUGGAGAUUAGAAUGAUAAAGGAGACAAUAGAAUAUUAUAUUGAUCUUACUCCUGCAAUUACUUAUGAAUGAUAUUUUAUUAUCUUUCUUAUUUGUUGUUUUGGUAUAAAAGUAUAAGCUACAUAUUAUAUUUUUGAGAAAAAUUAUAUAAUUUAUUUGUUAUCAAUUCAUUUUAGCCUUCUAAAAAAUUAUUACUUUUUUUAUUAUUAAAUUUUCACCCCUCGGACAAUUACUCGAAAAGGAGGAUCACGUGUCCACUUUAUCACCUUAACCUGGUCCCUACCACCAGUUCGCAUCCACGUGUCAAAAUCACACAUGAGAAAUUCAAUUCUGAUGCGGUGGAGAUGGAGGAUGGGACCCACCACAUGAUUGCCUUUUACACGCUUCUUUUAAGCUACCGAUGCGUGAUUUGCGCGCGUGAUUAAAAAAAUAAAAGAAAAACCUCUCACUCUUUACUCUUUACCCUUUGGUCUUUAGUUUAGGGAUGACAAUGGAUUAGAUCUGAUCUAAGAUUCACGUUAUCUAAAUUUAAUCGGAUCAGAUUUAGAUCGAUUUAAAAUAGAUUUAGAUUGGAUUUGAAUAUUGAUGUGUGGAUUUAAAACGGAUCUAGAGCAGAUCUGGAUCUAUCUUAAUAUCUAAAUUCAUAUUCAUAUCCACUCAUUUUUUUAUUUUAUUUUAAAAGUUUCUUAACAAUUGUAAAAUUAUAAUGAUAAUAAAUUUUAUUCAUAGCAUAUUAGUAGUAUUUACUAUGCAUUUAAACUCUUAAAACUUAAAAGUUAGUUUUGUAAAUUUAAAGGUCAACCAGCCCCAAAGCAUGUACAUGUAAUAUUCAAAUUGCAAGUCAAGUAAUAUAACAUAGAAAUUUAUUUUAUUAUAUUGGCCAAAUAAUUUUUAAGGAAUAUAGUUAUUCAUAUAUUUAGUCAUAUAUGGACAUAAUAAAAAUAAUAAAUGACUGAAUAUAAAUCAUAUUUAAUUUGUAUGCCAUUAUCUAAUGUUGUAGGAAUGACGAUAGAUGUAUCGUGGAGAUUAGAAUGAUAAAGGAGACAAUAGAAUAUUAUAUUGAUCUUACUCCUGCAAUUACUUAUGAAUGAUAUUUUAUUAUCUUUCUUAUUUGUUGUUUUGGUAUAAAAGUAUAAGCUACAUAUUAUAUUUUUGAGAAAAAUUAUAUAAUUUAUUUGUUAUCAAUUCAUUUUAGCCUUCUAAAAAAUUAUUACUUUUUUUAUUAUUAAAUUUUAAAAUUCAUGACGGACUAGAGCAGAUUUAGAUUUUUUUUUUUCAGAUUUGGAGCAGAUAUAGAUAUUUAUUUCUUUUUUAAAUUUAGAUAUGGAGCGAAAAAUAUAAAUUCAUGAUAGAUCUGAAGCAGAUAUAAAUCUUGAUAUUUAUUAUAGAUUUAAAUCUAAAACAGAAUAAAUCCAACCCAUAUCUGUCGCAUUAACAUCUCUACUUUAGUCUCGUACUCUCUCUCCUGCGAUUGCUUCGAUCUUUCGUAAAGACAUUUAAAAAUAAAAAUUAAAAAAAAAAUCUAGAAAUGAUCAAAAUAAAUCGUUGAAAAGUCAGACGAGUUGGAAUCUCAUGGAAGCCAGCCAUGACACAACACUACACUGGAUCUAAUGCUUAGUCAAAGUCAAACCGCCGGCUACUCCUUUUCUUUCCCGUCAACAACCGCAGCCUACUUUUUCUAUUUUAUUUUCUUCUUUUUUUCAUAUUUUUUAUUUCACUCAUUUAUUUGUAUUCCUUUUUUUUUGUAUGAAUGAUCCAUCGUAAAUAAAAUUUUGAGCAAAUGAAAAAAAAAAUCUAAAUAAUUCAUUGGUUCUAAAGACCCAAAUAAUAUUAACAUCGUCAAAUCAGGGUAAUGAUUGCAUUUGUUUUGACAGUAUAAAUAGGAAUUAGAAUGAAAAUUUCCCAUCUUGUAAUUAUAAUAACAAAAGAAGAAAACCAAGUUUGACGUAUAGAACUUCAGCUUAUAGCUCGUGCAUACCUUUUAUCCAACACGUUACUCACUAAAGUUGAACUCAUUUGAAAAAUACAGAAACAUAAACGAGUUAGUCAUAAUAUGAAUACAAUACAAAUAAAUAUCUGUUGACUAUAUGUAUUAUCUUUAAUUUUUUAUGUAAUAAUCAAAUAUCAAAAGCUUAAAUAGAAACGCAAUUUAAUAUCACAUUCACAAACUCCAUAAACUAUCGUUGAAAAGUUCAAAUUAAUAAUUUCUUUUCACAACUUACAUUUGUCUUUAAUAAAAGUCUAUUGAAACCUACCUCAUAAAUAAAUAUUACAAACACACACAAAAUAAACUUCUUUCCACAUAUAAGAUAUAUAUAUAUAUAUAUAAAGAAAAGAAAAGCGAUUUCCUAUUAGUUGGUCGAUAAUUCUCAAAAAUUAUAAUUAAUGCUAUAACAAUUUAUGUGAUACAUAUAAUUUUUAACGACAAAAUUAUUUUAUAAAUGGUAUUGUUCCAAUAAGAAAUAUUCCUAAAACACAAGAAAAAUGCAUACUCUUAUAUAUUUUGGAUAAAAUAAUUUGUAUUAAAAUGUUUUUUUUUUUUUUACUUUCUAGUUUAUUUUUGAAUUCCUUAUCAAAUAAUAACUCAUUAUAUAAAUAUCAAUAAAUAUUUUCAUAAAAAUAGUGUUCGAGGUUGUACCUUAUCUCUUGAUAUAAAAAUAUUCUACUCUAUUACCAAAAUUCGAUUCACUUUACGUAAACAUCCAAUCAGCGUUAAAAACGACACCGUUCAUCCCAAUUUAGGAACAUAACCACCAUCAUUAGUUCACUGCACCUUCUACAAAUACCAGCAACCACCCCUCUCCUUCUCCCCUUUCCCCCUCCACCGUGGCAUCUUGUUCGCUCUAAUCUGUUCGGACGAUUCGUUCAGGUAAUAAAACGCUGCGUUUCAGUUUCUAAAUUUAGAUCGUGUAGAUCUGGUCCUCUGUAUCUCCCGUUACCGUUCAAAUAAUUCUGUUACCAGUCAAAAUUCAGAUCUGGCCUUUAAUAGCUGUAUAAUCCAAAACAAUAAUAAAGGGAAGAAUUUGUUAGCAUGUUUUAUCUGUCUAUUUGUCUCCUUUAAAUUCGAUGCCUGAGAAGUUUUCACUUGCUCUAAAAUCGAAAUCGAACCGUUUCGUGUUGAAUCGAUUCGUUCGAUUUUCGAGAGUUUUGUAGUUUGAUUAGUGGAUGAAGUAGUUCGAAGUUUUUUUUUUUUCAAGGUUUGUUGUUUGUGUCUAGAUCUGUUGAACUCAUGAGUUAAUCUCGUCGUUUUCUGUUUUGUUCCCUCGAAAUAUGUGUUUUCCCUUCUGAUUUUUUUAAUGAUUUUGCCUAAUUUUUCUCGAGAAUUAAAGAGAUUUAUGAAUUGGGUUUGAUAUUUUAGUUUCAGAUGUUGAUUUAACAGGAUGAGAAAAUACGAAAAUUCGGCCUUGUUUGAGGUUCUGUUGAUGAUUUUGUCUAACUUUCUUGGCUACCAAACAGAAUUUUGAAUUAGUUUUCAUAUUUUUCUGUUCGAUGUUGAUUAUUUUUGUGAAUGAAUCAGCCGAUUUGUUAUUUGCUUUGCAGAGAAAAAUAUUUAUUUAUUUUUUUGUAAUUUCUUUGCUUGAUUUUUAUUUUUUUAUUUUCAUGCUAGACGUUGAUCAUCAUAGUUGAACAUGAUUUUGAUUUUUUUUUCUCUUUUUUCUUUUGGUGAAAAAAUCUCCUGAUUUUCUGCUGGGUUCCUAAGAGAAUUUUCUGUUGUUUUUCCUGAAACAAGAGAGACAUGUGAUUUGAGUUCUAUAUUUUAUUGUAACAGAAGCUGAUCUUUUGAUUUUUUUUUUUCUUUUGAACAGGCGUUUUUCUGUUUAUUAAAGCGGGUUUUUGAAGAUGAACCAGUUCUAUUAUCAGAAGAACGCCUUUGGCGCACACGAGGAGAGGUGUGACUCGUUCUCCGUCUCUGGUCAGAGGGAGUCUGUUGUUUGCCCUAAGCCUCGCCGUGUUGGAAUUUUGUCUAAUAUUCAUAACAGGCCAUUGAGAAGGCACAUGAGGUAAAAAUAAUGUUGUCUUUUUCAAAUGAUCUGUGUAUACUCUUUUGAGUUUGUUGAAGAUUAGUUUAGUUCUAAGAAAGUUUUGAUUUUUUUGCAGUCAUCCAGUUGAGGUGUCUGAUUCAAAAGCUGGGGCUGAGCUUCUAGACAUUAUUCUCAUGAAGGUAUUCACUUGCCGCUUUUGUCUAACUUGUAUCUGAGAGAUAUGUAUGAUCAUUUUGUGAUUGUUAUCCAUGUAGAAAUUGAUUUGAAUAGAUAGAAAGUUGCUUAGAAAUAAUCAAUCUAUUGCUUUUGUUUAUUUGAGUGCCAUACUUAUGGUAGGUGGGAUUGUUUUGUCAAAUUCUUUCAUGAUGGAACACAUUAAAUGGUGCUGGUCUGAUUUGUAUAUGCUUGUUUUGAACAUUAUAGGAGGGUCAUGGGGUGGAUCAAACUGCUUCCCAGGCAGCAUCUUCACCACCUUUUUUCUGUGGGUCUCCUCCAAGCAGGGCUGCCAACCCUUUAAUCCAAGAUGCCCGUUUUGGAGACGAGAAACUUAGUCCUUUGUCUUCAUUGCAAGUGCCACCCCCUUCUGGUUUACCAUCUCCAUCGUCAUCAGCACGUAAGGCCGGAUGUGCUAGAAUGAACUUUGGGCUUAAACCAGCCACUGUUAGAGUAGAAGGAUUUGAUUGCCUGAACAGGGAUCGCCAAAAUUCCAGCAUCCCUGCUAUGGCUUAGAACUGCAUAAAAGAUGAAAAAAGAAGCUGUAUAUAGAGAAGGAAGCUGAGCGCCAACAUAAUUCAACAAAGCACAGCAGACCUAACACGAGGGAGUUUUGAAUAUUUUUGAAGAGAAUGUAAGAAGAUAUGGUAGUAGUGUAUGUAUAUAUGUAAAAUGUGUUUUUCCAUUUUUAUUUUUUUUUUUUUGGCCGGUGAUCUAUCUCAUUGCUAAUAUCUCUGUAAGUAUUUUGAUUGAGCAAAUGAAAGAGAACGGCAACUCGGGGACGUUUUGAAGAGCUUGGCAUGGCCGGCUCUUCUUGUAAUAUAAGAUUUAGUAUUGGGAGGGAGUUGUGAUAAAGGAAAAUUUGUAUAGAGGGCUAUUGCCUAUUGGUGACUUAAUGUUAGUCAUUGACGCAUGUAAAUGUAUUUUGGCAGUUGUUAAUGGCCUGGCUUCCGUUCUUUCCUUGCAGUUUUUCUCUCUUCCUCUCUUCUGCUAAUUGCUAAAAGGGUACUCGAGUGAUGUUUGGACAUUUAUAUUUUAUAUUGAAUUUUGAAUUUUUUAAUUUUUAAAUGGCUAUUGUGUAUGAAAAAAAAUCAUCGGAUGAGAUGGGAUUUUAUCGAUGACUUCUAAGGAAUGAUCUCAUGUUCUGGACAGAUUGUGGAGUUGUGUGUUAUAUUAAAUAAUAAAUAAUAGCACAGCGGGGCAUGCAUGCAUGCAUGAAUAGGUUUGGGGUCAUUUUAUGUGAUUUUUCUAUUCGAGCGUUGGCCGCCUGAAUGAUUAGUCAAGUGAAUCAAAUUUGAAUUGGUCUCUCUUUGACGAGAACCAGUCGGUCAUCUACUAAUAUACUUUAUGAAUAAUAUAUUUUAUGUUAUUUUUCCUAAAGGUUUUGGAGACUCGCAAUUAUGUGGACUUCCAUGAUAUGUUCACAAAUGCUUAGCUGAGCAAAUAUACAAAAACUAUGUACCGUAGGGCAACGUGAUUUGGUCAAUUCCGCUGUGGCUGGGACCCCUCGAGAUGAAGCUAAACAAUCAUCUUUUCAUUGUUUUGUUUAUUCUCUUCUCUGUUGUGGUUCCGUGUGUGACCAGAUUAAGUGUAUCAUUGCCAUUGGGAUAUUUUGCUUCGUGCAAAUUCAACUAAUGCCUGAUUUUUUACGAAAAAAUUUCGGUGUUUCCUAUCCCCGGAGUUUAAAUUUCUGUAAUUUGGGCUUGGGACAGAGGCCCUUGGUUCCCAUUAGGCCGCGGCUCUAUUUCUUGGGCUUUUAAUAAUCUAAAUACUGAGUUUGUGUUGGGGCCGGGCGAGACACUAAUUAAAAAAAGUUUUCCCACUUUUUAUCUCAUGUUUUCAUAAUAAACAAUAAAAAAUAAAAGUGAAAACGAUAAUACAAGCCAUUCAGAAUGCCAUGAAUUUUAAGUAAGUAUCCUCCAAAAAGGAAAAGCAAGUGCGUGGAAAUGGCAACGUGAAUGUGCUGAUGCCACCGUAUUCGUGUAAUGUUUCCAAAAGAAUCAUUUCACAGUCAAAGAAGAAGACAACGACGAAAUGCUUGUCCUGUUUCUAUGUAGUUGAUGAAACACGCUCGCUGCUGAGAUAAGUCAUCUAACUACUUGUUCACUUAAUUUGUUCUUUGAAUCUUCCUAAAUUAAAUAAAUAUUUUAAUUAAAAAUUUGAUAAAAGUUCUUUUUAAACGGUAUAAAAUUAUUAUUUUAAACUAUAAACUUGUAAUUUUCGCUAUAGAUUAAUGGGAUGUAUUACCAAGUUAAUAAAGAUACAUUUUUUUUAUUAAAAACAAUUAUAUAAAUUUUAAAUAAUUUGAAAAAAAAAAACUUAUAUUUAUACAAAAUUGAUGCAUAAGUAUCAUAUUUUUGUUUUAUGUAAAUCAUGUUUAAGUUUAUAAAUUAUAAGGACAGAGUUUACUUAGAUAAUUUCAUUCAUUUAGAACAGAAUGCCUUUAAUUUUUAACUUCCGGUCAUUGUUGUUUUACCAAUCAAAAUUAAUCUUGUCAAAUUUUUAAUUACGAUACCAAAAUUUGCAGUGUAAUAUUAAGAAAAAGAAAAACACAUGCAAUUAGCACACGUAUUAUAUGAGAUUGAUUUUUAACCUUCUUUCAUUGUUGUUUUACUGAUCAAAUUUAGUCUUGUCAUAUUUUUAAUUAGAAUACCAAAUUUUGUAAUGUGAUAUUGAGAAAAAGAAAAACACAUGCAAUUUUGCACACACAUGACCGCAUAGAUUAUAUAUUGGGUACUAACUUUACAUCUUGUCAGAAUAUCAUCAUCUUAAUUAUCUAAGAAAACAUAUAUAAAUUUCUUUAGAUCAUGUUUGUCCACAAUAACAAUAAAGUAGAUAAGGUUGAAAACAUCUCACAUCAGUAGCUAGAUUUCUUCACAAUUUAUUUAGAACAGAAUGCCUUUGAUUUUUUAACCUUCUUCCAUUGUUGUUUUACUUAGCUUAUAAAAAUUAGUCUUGCAUAUUUUUUUUAGUUAUAAUACCAAACUUUGUAAUGUAAUAUUGAGAAAAGAGAAAAAACACAUGCAAUUGGUAUACACAUGACCACAUAGAUUAGAUACGAGGUACUAACUCCGUAGGUAGUCAAAAUAUUAUCAUCUUAAUUAUCUAAGAAAAACAUAUAUAGAUUUCUUUGAAUUCUGUUUGUUCAUAUAUAGUAAAAUAGAAAAGGUUUGAAAAAUCUGACAUCAGUACUUAGAUUUCUUCACAAUUUAUUUAGAACAGAGUGCCUUUCAUUUUUAACCUUCAUUCAUUGUUGUUUUACUUAUCAAAAUAAAUCUUGUCAGAUUUUUAAUUUUAUUACUAAAAUUUGUAAUGUAAUAUCAAGAAAAAGAAAAGCACAUACAAUUAGAUUUCAUUGGAUUCUGUUUGUCGAUAGUAAAGUAAAUAAGGUUAAAAAAUCUGACAUUAGUCUCCAACAAAAAAACAUGAUUUCAUUUUUCUUUCUGACACCAAUUCACAAAAUUAACAUAAAUCUCGAAUUUUGGUGAUGUAAGAUCGAGUCAUAAGAACUAAGAAUAAUAAUAAGAAAAAUUCUUUAAAAGACAAUUGUUGAAUUUAUGAAAACCCAUAUAUCAUCAAACAGACGCAACAAAUGAUUAAUUUCUUUGUACUGUUCAAAUAUAAUAUAAAUUAGCUAAAUAUUUUGUAAUAAAAAAAAAUUAAUGAAUAUUUCUAGUAUCAUAACAAACAAAUUCAUUAAAGAGGAAAAAACUCGUGCUCCAUUAUAUACGUGGCGACUGCAUGCAAGACCAACUUUGCAGCAAAACUACAAAACACUUUUCAUCAUCAAAAACGUUACAGAAGAUGAAGAAAAUUACAAAACGCUAAAAAAAGAAAGGAAAAAAAAAAAUUCCACACAGAGUAGAAGAGAGAAUAGAUUCAAAAUCGCAGGGCCACAAGACGAAAACUCCUGUCGGUCGUGGGACCCACAAGUCCACGUGUCCCGGCUGCAUGGCCACGUAUCCAUAAAGUACGAAGAAACGCACGAAGUUAGUUUCUUCUCUCCCAAAUUUUCCACUUAAAAUAUCGACUCAAAUUCGCAAGUACGUAUACCCCUCGAUAUCGAGUCAAUUCAAACGCAAGUUCAUGAAGAGUGCCAUUUUCUCGUGAGAUUCUUUUCUCGAGAAAAUGAUGAUGAAAGCCUAACUGAAAGGGGAGAAAAAAUAAAUAAUAAUAAGUUGAUAAAAAGACACAUGCGUUUGUACAUAAAUAGGCACUGUACUUCACUUGUCACCCAUCAACAAAAUCUUCGGCUGCACAGAAAACCCAGUUGCGCUUUCUCUCAACAAAAUGAAAAUGGCGAAGGUGAGCCCUGUUUUUGAAGGCAAGAUAAGCGGAGGAGGGGAAGAAGAUGAAGAAAAAGAAGCCGGGCGGUCGAGGAUGGCCAGGGAAAACGCGAAAGCCAGGAUACGUAACAUUAGAAGAGUGAGUGUCAGAGCUCGGCGUCCUUAUCAAAGAAGGAUGAUGACAAGAUCAAUGGCUGCGAUGAGUUCUUCUUCAUCAUCAUCACCACCACCAUCACCACUCGACACUAUCAAAGAGGACGAGCAGGAAGAGGAGGAUCAUCAAGAAAUGAACAAUAACAGUAAGGGUAAGGAGGAGGUGGUUGAACUUAAUGAAAAGGAGAAACAAGAAGUGAUUGUAAGUGAUGAAAAGGAGAGGGAGAAGGAGAAACAAGACGUGAUUGUAAAUGAUUCAAAGGAGAGGGAGAAGGAGAAACAAGACGUGAUUGUAAAUGAUGAAAAGAAGAGAGAGAAGGAGAAACAAGAAGUUAUUGUAAUUGAUGAAAAUGAGAGGGAGAAUGAGAAACACGAAGUGAUUGUAAUUGAUGUUGAUGAGGUAGAGGAUAAGCCUCAGGCUGAGGCGGAGGUGCCAGCGGCGGCUGGUGAUGGUGGUGUGAGGGAGAAGUACUAUUGUUGGCCAAAUGGGUGGUAUGAUGGGCUAGAUGAGUGGCCGAUGACGUGGAGCUAUGAGGAGGAGUGGCUUUGGUCGGGGAGGGGAUUAGGGUUUGGGCUGACUAAUCCUCAGUGGGAGUACAUUGACGGAGUGGGUUGGAUUGAUAAGAGACCCUGAGUCUGAGUGGUUAAAUGAAACCGGAGGUGCGUUCAUGUUCAAUUGUGUCCCCUAUAUAUAGAAGAGAAUCUCUGUCUUUAUUAAUAUGUCAGUAUGAUGUUUUGAGUAUAUAUGUAACUAAACAUAUGUAGCUAGCAAGCUAGUGUAUCAGUGCAUGUAGUUGGGUUAUAAAUAGUGUUUUGUUGUGUCGAAAUGUGAAUUUAGAUAUGCUUUAAUUAGUAAUUAUAUAAUUAACUAGCACAUUCAAUCUCUUUGCUGUUGACAUAUAAGGGGACAUUGAUUACAGCAUAUACAUAUACACAGGCUAAAUCCAACAUAUAUUAAUCUCUCGCAGCAACCUUCAAAUAUGAGAUUGAAAUGGGGUUUUGAAUUAUAUUUUGGUCAGUGAUUGCGUGAAAUGUCGAUAAUUCAAUGGAAAAACAUGUUAAUGGGCAUGUACGUCAACUAAUUAAUGAGGGUAAUGACAUAGGAACCAUGAUCUUCUAUCUUAAUAUUAUUAGAUAAGAUUGUAAAAAUAGUUAAAAUACGUUAAUCAUAAAUUGUUAUAAAUGCACAAAAUCAUAUAUGAUGUUUCGAAGUUUGUAGGAGAGUAUAUUCAUUUAUAUAGCGGCUCUAAAGUCAAAACAUUUUACAUUAGAUUUGAUUGUUUGGCAGCCUAACAUAUAUAUUUAGAUUUGGAUUCCUUGCUUUAAACUUGAAACCACUGUAUCAUUAUCCCCUAAUAAUUUGAUAGCUUACAUAUAUGCACAAAAUCAUAUAUGUGUAGUAGCCGAGCAUUUUAUUUGAUAGCUUUUAGUUAUCCUAUAAGCUGAUACAUACAAUUGUACAUAGUGUAUAUGGAUCAAUUUAUUAGACAAAUAAUUAACGAAAGAAUACCGUUAAAUAUUACUUUCUAUAUGCCUUUUAAGUAACUGAAAAAUCAAAACAAAAGAAUUUCAAUAACUGUUUUUAGUGAUUUUCUUUAGUUAAAAAAAUGACCGAGCAUGGGAAAUUUUUUUUAAUUACAAUAAAAUUUUUUUAUCAAAGAGAAUACCUAACUGUUUUUAACUAUAGUAAGAAAAAAAAAAUACUUCCAAGAUCAUGGGACAAAGGAUGAGAUCUCGAUAAAUUUGUGCGUAUAUAUCAGUAUAUGGAACGUCAUUCAUUCAUACAACCAAGCAUUUCAUUUUUUCAUAUAGAUGAGAAUUCCUGUAUUCUUGUAUUAAUUUAUCACGAGAAACUUUUUUUUUUUCAAUUUGGAUAAGACAAAUUAAGAUGCGUAAUUAAGCGUUGACUUAAAUUGGUAACAAAUUAAUUUUCAAUGAACUUAUAAAAAUAAUUCACAAGUGUAGUCUAAGCCUCUAAUUACUUGACAUAACCUACAUCCGUAUGAAUGAUUUUUUGCCAAAUUCCCGUGAGCAAUUCGGCAUUUGGAUGCUAGGUCAAUGUGGUCCUGAACAAGAAAUGCCUUAAUGUUAUAGUUAAAUGGUAAGAAGUAUUAAUUUUGUAGCUUGUUUAAGGAGUUGGAAUAUUGGCACACCUCUAACAUUCUCUUCAAACCCCCUUUAUGCAUAUAUAUAUUCUUUUUAAUUCAUAAAAUAACCUUCAUUUGCUGUACUUUCUUAAUAAACCAUGUGUUAGUAGUUUGAAAAAAAAUAUUAUUAGGCUCUCUCUCUCUCUCUCUCCUCUCUCCCAUUUCAAACCAUUUUUAAUUUCUUCUUUGUUACAUCAUUCAUGAAUUUUUAAUUUUUAUUCCCAUCUCUCUUUAUUUUCUUAGCAUGUAACAACUGGAGUGUACAUAUAAAGAUAAAUAAUGCAUAUAUGAAAGAAAAAACUUCGCAUAAGUAAACAAACUUCACAAAAUUAUUUUUUCUACAAAAAUUUAGUUUAUAUUUAGAUCAAAUCCUUAUUCCAUGACAAUUCACUGUUCAAACUUUGUAGAUUUAAUGAGUUUAUAAUAGAUAAAAAGGUAAAGAAAAUAUAGUUAGGUUUAAUUAGAUAAAUUUUAUUUUUAAUGUAAUUUAAAAUAUAAAGGAUAAAUUUGUAAAUUCAAAGCAAGAGGGGUUUCAAAAGAGAUAUGGAGGGGUGCCAAUAGCGUAACUCUUGUUAAAGUUCUGAAGUGCGCGAUUUUGAAUAUUCUAAGCUUGCAUUUGUAAUAUGAGCUUUCAUAUAUAUAUAUAUAUAUAUAUAUAUAUAUAUAUAUAUAUAUAUAUGUUGAUAGAAAUUAUUUGAAUGGCGGUUAUGACUGUAAUAUGAACAAAAACUGUUAUACACAGCCGCAAACCACUAACAUAUUGCAAGGAAUAUAUGUGUGUGAUAGUAUAAAUAAAACAAACAUAGGAUCGAAUAUACGUACAUUAGUGUUUCUGUAAGCUAAGAAAUAAUAAAAGAAAUUGCCUCACGGCUUUAUAAAAUGUUAUAAUUUUCUUAUUGUCAAAAUACUUAAAUAGACAGAUAGACGCUCAUAACCCCUUGAUUGGAUUCCCUUAACUUUAAAGCAAUUUAUCCACUCAUACAAGAUAAAAGCAAAUUCUAAAUUGAAAAGCGUUACCAUUACAACCCGGCUUUCCAUUCUACUGUGACAAGGAUUACUCCUUGUUUUCCUAAUUAUUUUCUCUUCUGCAUUAAUUUAUGAUUUCCUUUAAGACUACUUAUAUAUAAAAUUGUAAUGUCAUCGAGGCAAAGCUAUUUCUCAAGCAAUCAAUCGAUAAAACUUUCAGGCUUUGGCAAAUUUGAAGGUCGAUCCCCUCGCUCGAAGUGAUCAAAGGAUAUAGUUUAGUGGAAUUUGACGUGGCACCCCCUGCUUUCCUCAUCGUCAGCUGCUGGUGGCCUUGACAGAAUCAGACAUCACUUAAGGGCCCCUGCGUGGUUUUGAUAUAGUUAGAGAUAGAGAAACUGGAAAGUCCAGGGGCUAUGCGUUCUGUGUUUACCAACAUCUUUCAGUUUCAGUGAUUGCAUGCGCUACCCUGAAUGGGAUAAAAUUGGGAGAUAAGGCUCUCACUGUUAGACGGGCAAAUCUAGAUUGCCUCGGGGAGGAGGGGCGAAAAAUGUUAAAGAAGGUGAGGAUGAUAGAAUGGUCUACAAGGUAGGGUCGAUACAAUUCUCCGAAUUCUAAUUGAAAGGCCCAUUCAAGUCGAGAUUCAAUAUAAAAUUUUAUCCCAAAUUUAAAAUCUAGAUUGAGAUUCGGAACUCAAUUUUAUUUGGAUUUACUGUUCAGGACAUUUGAAAUCCUGAUUGGGAUCCUAAAUAUUUUCAAAUCAGGGCCUUUAGAAGCAUCUGACAAGUUGGUUUGAUCAAGUAUAUAAUUUAAUUUAUUAUUUUAAAAUCAGGGUCUUUAGAAGCAUAUGAUAAAUAGAUUUGAUUAAAUAAAUAAUCUAAUAUGUCGGUCAUAUGAAUAUGACAAGUCCAUUUAAUAAACAUGAAGCAUAUGACACAUCGAUCAUAAGUGUAUGGCAUGUUGUUUAUUACAGAAUCUACUGUGUACGACAAUAAACUCACAUCAUCCAAGACAUUCAGGGAUCAUAAUAUAUUUUUUAUCUUGAUUUACUGUUCACAACAAUAUUUAUGAUUUUUUUUUUAUUCCAUUUGAUGUCUCUAUUAGCAUUAGGAUUUUGUUUUAGGAUUUUAUUUUAUUUUGUUAAUGUUUUUGUUUGGAUUUUAAUUUACGAUUUCAAUUAUUAUUUGGUAUUUCCCUUGUAACCCUAUUAAUAGCGAUGUCCUUGGACUUUCAAAUUCAAAUUUAAAAAAAAAAAAAAGGAUGAUGCCAUAUAUCAGAAGGUAUUGUUUAAUUGGGGAUUAUUCCAUUAUUACUAGAAAAUGCUGAUGGCCGAGUGUAAACUUCUUGAAAAUGACAAGAACUCGUUUGUAAAACACAACCCUCAAGUUUGGAUUGGGAUGGGAGUUAGGAGAUGCUAAAGUCAAUUUCAUACAAAAUUGAAAAUUUCAAUAAAUUACAGAGAAACUUAUCAAAUUUUGAAAAACCUUAAAAGCGAUGUUUGUUUGAAUAUGACCAUUUAGCUUAUUUUGUCACCGAUUUUUUUUCAGACAUAUUUCUUUUAUUAAAUAAUACCUAAAAAUAAAUUAAUUACAGAGAACUUAAAUAUCACAAACCGCCAAACUUGCUCUUUCUAUCCUAAAUAUUGUUACGGACUGUUAACCAAUUUCUUGCACUAUACAUAAUAGAUGUCUUGUUUAAAUUCUUUGACCAGAUAUUUAACGAAGAUGGAUGAGAGGAGAGAGAAAGCGUGUAUUAAUGAUAAAAAGUAAAAAGAUUAAUGUCAUUUAAUUUAUUAAAUCCUCACCGUUGAUAUGUUUUAAAUCUAAAGGCUUAAAAUUAAUAUAAAAUUAAGUAUAAUUUUAGAGGGACGGACUUACCACUUGAGCUUGACUCCUACGUGUCAGUUUAAUGACCUUUUGAUAUCCUUUCAUUUCAAUCUAAUGGUCUGUUUACAACAAGAAAAACUAACAUCAAGGAGUUGCUUUCGUCUCUCUUACACUGUCGCCAAAGACUUCAUUCGUUGACGGGAAGGCGAAGCAAAAUGUUCUGAAUCAAGAGAGGGUGUGUGAAACAUUUCAAGCAUCGGAGAUAAUUUAUAAUCAAUGCAGUAAGAGAGACUAAAGAAAGCAUACAGUUCUUCUUAUCACCAACUUUAUCUCGUUAAAGGGAUGUCCACAAGUGUAGCUAUCGAAGAUUCAUCACUGACCUAUGGGCACACUUUUUGAAGAUUGUUUAGAUAAAACAUGAUCCACUAAACUUUGGGCUGAUAAAUGAUGAAAAACAAGUAAGCCACUGACAGGACAAACUUAAUUAUCUUUAUGAUAUGUAGAUUUGAGUUCUUGGUCCAAUUUAAAUCAACUAAAGUAGCAUGUACAGUGAAGUGGCUCAGGCUGUUAAUUAAAAAACUAAUCUUAGUUUUUGGAGUGAGACUAAUCCUCAAUUUAAUAUGUUUACUUAAUUAUAAGCUGGGAUGUCAGAAUUAUGAUCUGGGUUUGAAUUCUGAGAGUAAAUUGACGCAAUAGAAAGUGAAUGUACCGUGCCUUCAUUGGCCGAAGAUUUUGAAUUCUUCAAAGAAUCAGAUGUUCUUUUUGUUUAUAAUUGGACAUUUUGCAGGUCAUGACACGAGGUAACACACUGAAAAUUGCAGAGCAUUUUCAUCAUCUUCAUGAAUAAUACGUUUGGCUAUCCAAAUUAAAGCGAUCGAUUCUCCAAGGAGCUUGGAAUCCGGCACAGGUUUUGAGGGUUCAUUUGUAUUUAUUAUUUAUAAUUUGAUUGUUCUUCAAUUGGGUGCUCAAUACCUACAGCUCCACAACAGAGAAAUUAUGACCAACGAAUGAUAGAGAUGAUUGGCAAGAAUCAUAAAACUACUCUUUUAAUUCCAGUAAUUCUCACUCAUUAAACUGAACAUCCGAGACCCAGAUUAAUGAAACUGAAAACAAAGGAUUCAAUUAUUAAAAUAUAUAUAAAAAAAAAAAGCCAAAGUCGGGGAGAAAACCAAAAAAGUUUGAGCAGCAGCAACAGCAGCCUAAGUACAAAUUAAACGCAAACCGAACCCCCAUUGAUCGAAUGAUCAUUAUGGGGGUUACACAUAAUAAUAAUCAACAAUAUUGCAUGGGUGGUUACACAAAUUUAAUUGGGAACCUAGACGCCUGGUGGCUUGGCAGCAAGGAAACUGAUGCACUGCACUUGACGCUUGUUGUCAAAUCCGAUAAUUCGGACGAAUGAAUGUGGGUAUUCCUUCUGGACCUCCCCAACCUCCUUCAAAACCUGGGUUGCAUCUGUGCACCCAUACAUGGGCAGCUUCCACAUUGUCCAGUAGCGUCCAUCGUAGUAUCCUGGUGAGCUGUGGUGCUCACGGUACACCCAUCCUUUCUGCAGUCACGCCACCCAAAAGAAAAAACAAAAAAAAAAAAAUCAAAUAUCACCACCCAUUUGCCUGAUAAAAUCCGCUUAACCCAAAAGCUUAGAUUUUAAGUAAGCAAUUGUUAAUGCAGGUUUUGAUAUUGAAUGGAUAUCUCUGACCAAUAGAUUCAUGACAUGUGUAAUUUUUCUCCUAAAGCACAUAGAUAAGGUUCCGUCAAAAUAAUAGUAUAUAUUAAGAGAGACAGAGAGAGAGAGAGAGAGAGAGAGAAAUGACCUCCAACUCGAAUUCCAAGCAGGGAAUCCAGCCGGAGCGGAGAAGGUAACUGAUUUCCUUGAGCAAAGCUUCAUCGGACAGUGGCGGGAGGUAUGAGAGAGUCUCGAACUUCUUCAAGCCAGUUGGUGGCCACACCUGUAACAUACAAGCUCACAAGAAAAUUAAUUAAAAACAUAAUUGAGAGCUAAAAGAAGAAAGCCGUCAAUUUAAAGAAGCAAAAGAAGAAAUGAAUUCUUGUAUGAUUAUGAUGAUGACCUUCAUGCAUUGGACUCUUCCGCCGUUGCUUGCAAUGGAAGUAAUGUCAUUGUUGGUCUUCUUGGUUGCUGGGAAAGCAGAAGAAGACUUGAGGCCGGUGAAGGGGGCGACCAUGCUGGCCUGAGCAAGGCUGGCGCGGUUCGCGGUGGCAACGGUGGUCGAUGAGAUCAUUGAGGAAGCCAUUGGUACUUGCUCCUUCUUCUAGCUUUGCAAGUUCUUUUACUUAAUAGGAGGAUGCUCAGUGGCCAGUUG
RNAcentral lists this long non-coding RNA (29475 nucleotides) under Citrus sinensis (sweet orange). RNAcentral's name for it is "long non-coding RNA (CSIN_LNC002731)". The record is from RNAcentral. Lineage: Eukaryota; Viridiplantae; Streptophyta; Magnoliopsida; Sapindales; Rutaceae.